Molecule: long non-coding RNA, 2071 nt
Organism: Gossypium raimondii (Peruvian cotton)
Lineage: Eukaryota; Viridiplantae; Streptophyta; Magnoliopsida; Malvales; Malvaceae
Exons: 3
Source: RefSeq, a predicted model, not a curated record
GGCCCCUAGUUGGGCUCAUAAUUUCUUCAUUUAGACUUGGUUUAUUGGGCCACCAUUUCCAUUUCUCUUAUAAUGACAGAAACCAGGCCCUGCCUUCUUUCUUGUCUUGCCAGCACCCAAUUUCCCAUUCUGGAGCUUGCUUGCUUUUCUGCCACUAAGAUCUCCUUCUGCCCUGCAUUAUUUGUAGUUGAUAUGGUAGUUGCAUUAACAACAGCGUCUCUUUUUUUUUCAUAAUAAAUACACCAAUUAUGCUACAAUCUGAGGCCGAGACAAGAAUGCUUUAGCAUGGAAAGUUGAUGGGUAUAUGUAUAAUAUGUCAUUCUUUAGCUCCAAGGUCGCUCUAUCAUUUUACAUUAUUUUGAUUUUGCCAUCUUUCCUACGAAGAAUAUGAGAGGGGCAACCUUGGAGGAAAUUAAAGCAUCUUAAGAUUGACACAAGAGCUAGCAUAAGAGAGAAUCUCACACUCAAAUCAUUGAGCUUGACUUGAUGCUAAACAAGUGCUGGAGCAAAAGAUACACAACAAAAUGAAAGGCCAAUUUGAAGCAAUUAAUGCAGCAUAUGAAAGGGGAUGGGAUGAACAAGGAACAAGUAUAAGGAAGGCAAAAUUAAUGAAGAAUUAAAGGUUGCCCGAAUGGUUUUAAUCACUUUUAAGUAUAUGUUACAUUCUUCCUUUUCUUAGGAUAUAUUACUAUUUUUUUGGUCUUGCCUUGUUAAUGUAGCAUGCAUAAAACUUUGGGUCACUUAUCGUAGUUCAUCUUCAAGCUAGAAGGAAAUAUAUCCCAUCAGUUACUGAAAGAAAGAACCAUGCAGGGCCAGGGGUGCAUGAGGUUAAAGUAACACUGAUAUACAUGUACACGCACAGAAAACUACUUGCAUGAAUUGCUUAAAUAGUUGUGGAUAAUUGAGUGAGAUAGGAGGUUUAGAAAAUGCAUAUGUCCGUGAAUUUUCAUUUGGAGCGCAUAAACAUGAUUCUUGGUCAUGCAUGGAAUCUGAACAUAGCAUACAUGUAUGUUGUAUUUGGAGUUUGUUUCAGAGUUUGAAAGAUUUUGUCACCCACACAGCUGCUUCUAUUGGUGGACCUUCCAAAUUGCAGCCAAGACAAAACAGUCUGAAGGCAGCAGAGCAAUGUUCAUUCACAGACAAUGAUGGAAAUUUCAAGGUAUUUUAUGUUUUGCUGGCAAAACAAUUCCAAAUACCCACUCCUCACUUUUGUUCAAGGUGUAAAAACAAAGAAAGGAAAGAAUAUCGGCUGCUGUCACAACUCACCAGCGCCGUUUCAGAGAUGAAUUGAGUACAUACCAAGUAGAAGGUUCAUGGUACCUGAACUAUGGGAUUUCAAGCAAGGCAACGUUGAAUUUACUGAACAAAUUUUAUGUUAGAAGGAUAACAUUAUCUGCAUAAAUGAAACAUUUUAGAUAAUAAUAAGAAAAAAGUUUUGAAAGAAAACUCAGAUCGAGAGGCAAUUUCUAGGCCCAAUGAUUAGAACUUUACAUGUCAUUGAAGAAAAGAAAUGGAUAAAAUGAUGUAACUUAAAAUUGCUAAAAAUGAUAGAUUAAAUAUAAAAUUCUUUUAAAACAUAAUAAUUUAGGCAUUGUAAACCAAUGUGUAAGAUGAAAAAUGAAUUGCAAGGUUCUUAUCUUUAUUAAACCAUGUUACCAUCUCAUUAUCACAGCACAAAUAAUUAAAGGAAUUAUUAAUGUGAAAGUAAUUUUUAACCAAAGGGAGCCCACAUAAAUAAAGCUUAAACCAAGAUUUAGAAGAAAAAAGAACCCAAAGCCUUUGCCUUAUUUCUAGGUUCAAAAGACGAGAGAAUCCAAUGAUCUUUUCCUCUCAAAACCAACAAGAAGAAGAAGGGUGUAUUUUGCUAUUUGUCUGCCCUUCAUAUAUUUUAUCCUAUAAAUUAUUUUACCCAACAUAUUUUAUAUAUUGUAAAAGUUUUAGAACAUUUUAUAAACCAACCCCAUUAGGGCAUAUAUAUAAUAGGCCCACACCCCAUUUCCUCGAGCUUUGGUUCUACCAAGAUUUGCAAAUGCAUUGGACACUUGACUGAUGUGACCUCCAAAUAUGAACU